Molecule: long non-coding RNA, 135 nt
Organism: Sphaeramia orbicularis (orbiculate cardinalfish)
Lineage: Eukaryota; Metazoa; Chordata; Actinopteri; Kurtiformes; Apogonidae
Exons: 3
Source: RefSeq, a predicted model, not a curated record
CCUUGGUGCACUUGUUGAAGCUCUGCAGGAUGUCCCAUCCCCAGUCUCUGUGCUUGGCGUCUUUAGUGAAUCUGUACAUGUAGAAGAGACUUUCCACCGUCUCUGGCCUCAGCAGGUUGUGUUUGUCUGCAGGCU